This 484-nucleotide ribosomal RNA is filed under the name uncultured bacterium. RNAcentral's name for it is "partial 16S ribosomal RNA". It matches the Rfam family "Bacterial small subunit ribosomal RNA", at positions 28 to 523 of the family's 1533-position model. The record is from RNAcentral.
GACGAACGCUGGCGGCGUGCUUAACACAUGCUAGUCGAACGAUGAAGCCGGAGCUUGCUCUGGUGAAUUAGUGGCGAACGGGUGAGUAACACGUGAGUAACCUGCCCUUGACUCUGGGAUAACUGCGGGAAACUGUAGCUAAUACCGGAUACGACCCUCGGAGGCAUCUCCUGGGGGUGGAAAGAAUUUCGGUCAAGGAUGGACUCGCGGCCUAUCAGCUAGUUGGUGAGGUAAAGGCUCACCAAGGCGACGACGGGUAGCCGGCCUGAGAGGGUGACCGGCCACACUGGGACUGAGACACGGCCCAGACUCCUACGGGAGGCAGCAGUGGGGAAUAUUGCACAAUGGGCGCAAGCCUGAUGCAGCAACGCCGCGUGAGGGACGACGGCCUUCGGGUUGUAAACCUCUUUUAGUAGGGAAGAAGCGAAAGUGACGGUACCUGCAGAAGAAGCACCGGCUAACUACGUGCCAGCCGCCGCCGUAA